RNAcentral lists this ribosomal RNA (279 nucleotides) under uncultured bacterium. RNAcentral's name for it is "partial 16S ribosomal RNA". It matches the Rfam family "Bacterial small subunit ribosomal RNA", at positions 506 to 784 of the family's 1533-position model. The record is from RNAcentral.
UGCCAGCCGCCGCGGUAAUACGGAGGGUCCAAGCGUUAAUCGGAAUUACUGGGCGUAAAGCGCGCGUAGGUGGUUUGUUAAGUGGAAUGUGAAAGCCCUGGGCUCAACCUAGGAACUGCAUCCCAAACUGACAGACUAGAGUACAAUAGAGGGGUGUGGAAUUUCCUGUGUAGCGGUGAAAUGCGUAGAUAUAGGAAGGAACACCAGUGGCGAAGGCGACACCCUGGAUUGAUACUGACACUGAGGUGCGAAAGCGUGGGGAGCAAACAGGAUUAGAUA